CCUGGAGAGCUUUCAGUUGACGUAGAACGCCUCCUGGCGGCCAUGUUGGAAGACCACUGCAUUAAUUAUUCUGAAAACAGCCGAGGGGCUACCCCAAACUGAAUGAUAAAAGUGACUAGAACUAGUGGAUUCAUCACCACGGUCAUUUUCUGUGGAGUAUAUGGCUCCUCAAACAAGGCCGGAAAAGAUGUUUACAGAUUCCCCGCAAUCAUGAAACACCAUUGGCAAUACCAAUGAGAUAAGACUCAAGAACUCAGAAAAGCGAAGAAACCUUUUUGCCCGUCAAGACCUCAACCCAGACUGCUUUCAAUACAGGGUUUGCUACGAUCAUUUCAUCAUUGGAAGGUUCACCAGCUGACCUAUAUCAAGACACCCAUGUUGACUGGAUUCCCCCUGUGAAGAUGGGUAAUGCUGCAGCAGCAUCAGUUUCUACUACUUCUUCAUCUUUUUCCAGACAUGAAAGAAGACAUCCCUCAGUUAUAUGACAUGGUUGUCAUAUGCUGUGCUUUGGACAAUUAUUCUGUUGUCAAUUGAGUAGAGCACCUUGUCAUGACAAAAGUGCCCCCUUACACUGUAUGAAUAUAAUGUAAUUUGGAACGUUUAAAAGACUUGUUGAUAUUGUAAACAUACUGUACUUCAAGCUAUAUUGUUGUCUAAGUGAAAAGACAAGUAUUCUGUCAUCUUUGCUUUGCCUAGCCCCAUUGAAUAAAAAGUAUUUCUUAUGGCCCAA
Long non-coding RNA from Salmo salar (Atlantic salmon), 730 nucleotides. RefSeq lists it as uncharacterized. The record is from RefSeq and is a predicted model, not a curated record. NCBI's taxonomy places the organism in Eukaryota, Metazoa, Chordata, Actinopteri, Salmoniformes, Salmonidae.